RNAcentral lists this transfer RNA (70 nucleotides) under Tridentiger trigonocephalus. RNAcentral describes it as "tRNA-Tyr". It matches the Rfam family "tRNA". Rfam says of the family: Transfer RNA (tRNA) molecules are approximately 80 nucleotides in length. Their secondary structure includes four short double-helical elements and three loops (D, anti-codon, and T loops). Further hydrogen bonds mediate the characteristic L-shaped molecular structure. tRNAs have two regions of fundamental functional importance: the anti-codon, which is responsible for specific mRNA codon recognition, and the 3' end, to which the tRNAs corresponding amino acid is attached (by aminoacyl-tRNA synthetases). tRNAs cope with the degeneracy of the genetic code in two manners: having more than one tRNA (with a specific anti-codon) for a particular amino acid; and 'wobble' base-pairing, i.e. permitting non-standard base-pairing at the 3rd anti-codon position. Lineage: Eukaryota; Metazoa; Chordata; Actinopteri; Gobiiformes; Gobiidae. The record is from RNAcentral.
GGUAAAAUGACUGAGUAUCAAGUGGUGGAUUGUAGCCCCAUAUACAGAGGUUUGAGUCCUCUUUUUAUCA